RNAcentral lists this long non-coding RNA (237 nucleotides) under Medicago truncatula (barrel medic). RNAcentral's name for it is "lncRNA gene24688". The stretch from base 174 to 237 matches the Rfam family "Small nucleolar RNA snoR101". The record is from RNAcentral. Lineage: Eukaryota; Viridiplantae; Streptophyta; Magnoliopsida; Fabales; Fabaceae.
AGGUUAUCUUGUUUUUGAUUUGACGUUGCGGUUGAUUAUGAUUUUUUUUUUUUGUUUUGUUUGUAUGAUUUUGGAUUUGGAACUGGUUGUUUGAGUAUACUUGCCGUAUAUUAUUUCUACCGAAACAUUUGUUUUUGAAUUAAAAUCUAAGUGCGAAGAUUUUGCAAAUGAUGUUUUUACACUUGAUCUCUGAACUUUCAGGUAAGUUAAUGUUUGACAAUUUCAGUCGCUGAUGCU